Molecule: ribosomal RNA, 407 nt
Filed under: uncultured bacterium
Lineage: Bacteria
Description: partial 16S ribosomal RNA
Rfam family: Bacterial small subunit ribosomal RNA
Source: RNAcentral
AUCGAACGCUGGCGGCAGGCCUAAUACAUGCAAGUCGAGCGGAGCGGCUGACGGGUGAGUGAUGCCUAGGUAUCUGCCUGGCAGUGGGGGAUAACGUCCGGAAAGGGGCGCUAAUACAGCAUACUAUCAGCUGAGCCUAGGUCGGAUUAGCUAGUUGGUGGGGUAAAGGCCUACCAAGGCGACGAUCCGUAAGUGGUCUGAGAGGAUGAUCAGUCACACUGGAACGGAGACACGGUCCAGACUCCUACGGGAGGCAGCAGUGGGGAAGAUUGGACAAUGGGCGAAAGCCUGAUCCAGCCAGGCCGCGUGUGUGAAGAAGGCCUUCGGGUUGUAAAGUACUUUCAGCGGGGAGGCGGUACCCGCAGAAGAAGCACCGGCUAACUCCGUGCCAGCAGCCGCGGUAAUAC